Long non-coding RNA from Mangifera indica (mango), 2913 nucleotides. RefSeq lists it as uncharacterized. NCBI's taxonomy places the organism in Eukaryota, Viridiplantae, Streptophyta, Magnoliopsida, Sapindales, Anacardiaceae. The record is from RefSeq and is a predicted model, not a curated record. The transcript is spliced from 4 exons.
ACCCAUUUCACUUGUUUUUGUUCAUAAUUUUCAGAAAGCUUCUCUGUACAAUCUGCAUGUUGUUGAACCAUUAGCUCCUUUUCUCUGCAUGUGUGUGAGUCUGUCUUUAACCAUCAGAUUCCUUUCUCUGCAUGUCGUUGCAUCUUUCUUUAGAUGAACGUAAGGCCUCUUGAAACGGAGCUAGAAACCUCACAUAUAGCAUCUCUUGGAUUUUCAUCCCCCAAAGCACCAGUUUCUUUAACGAAGAAGAACUGACUUCUUCACAGCCACCUUAGAUGUGAAUCGAAUCCUGCAUUUGGAUUCUGAUGUUAACCAGAUAGUUACAGACAUGUAUGGCAGAAACAUUACUGUUGAUGUAGCUAGAACCAGAUUUAUUCAAGACCUGUUGGAUGCCAGGAGAUUCGAUCAAAUAGCAAUUGACAAACUAUAUGUGAACCCUGUUGUGGCUUACUCUAUGAUAUUGAUAGUGUAUCUACACCACGAUAAACCUUGAGUGGCAGAUGGAAACUGACAAGCAAAAGCAGCCUAGGCAGACAGUAGCAGGGGGGGGGGGGGGGGGGGGAUUUCGGAAGUUGAGUUUGCAUGCCUCAGUGGGGCAGAGAAAUAGGAUUAUCAGUCUUUUUAGUUUUGUAAAUGAACUGACAAAUGAUAUACUGUUGUUUUUGUUAGAAAUUGUGGUGCUGGAUUUUUCUUUCAUUUUAGUCUUAGUUGUUCCGAUGAACAUGUACAUUUGAUUGAUUCUUAUUCUUUUAGGAGUUGUCUAAAUCAUGAACUGAGAUUUUACUUUGCUCAGGAUCAACAGUUGCAUAUGAUUGAUUUUUAAUACGCUAAUUCGAUUACUAGGAAAUGAAAUUGCUUCCAGGGAUUCUGCCCAAAACAUUUUGCUUGCUUUGUGUGUUUGAGCUUCCCUCUUUAUUUGAUUUUGGUCAAGAGUAGCAAUCCAAUUAUAUAGUAGUCCAAUUGUUGCUCCUGGAGAUGGGGUGCUGGUAUUUUCGGAGUCUGCUUCUGCAAUACCUUGUUGCAAAUAAUUGAUUAUUUAGCUGUUUGCUGUCAUUAAUUUGCUGAUUAAAAUCUUCGGUCAGAUUUCUAAGUUUCUAAUUGCACUAUUUGGUAGACAACCCACAUGAGUUAAUGAGUGAGGCAUUAGAAGAGUCGCAAUGUACGUUGUCACAAGUAGAUCAUUUCCUUGUGUUUCUGUGUGCCAUUUUAUUAAAUCCAUAAGCUAUGUUAGUCUUUCCCAUCUCCGAUGCACAUCGGAAUGUAUAACACGUUAUGAAUUUUAUUACAUAAAAAGAAUGUUUACCAUUCACUUGUGUUAGUUUUCCGCUUAACUCAAAUGCUAUACAAUUGGCCCUAUUUAUAGGGUCAUCUCUAAGUUACCUAGUUGUUAUCAAUGUACCCAUUUGUUAACAUAAAGAAUCAAUGAGAGGUCAUUACUUUGAGUAUAUAUAUAAAAUAUGUAUCUAUUUAUAUAUUUAAAGUAGACAUAGAUAACAUUACUCAAGUAAUUAUUGUGUUUUAUGAAAUGUAUUAAAAUAAUGUUAAGUUACUAUUUUAAGUAAAUGCCGUUGGAUACAAGUAUUCUACGAUUAAUUUGCCUCACUCAUUAAUUCAUGUGGGUUGUUUGCCAAAUCUGCCUUAAUGGCACUCAAAAAAGUGCAAUUAGAAACUUAGAAAUCUGAUAGUGCAGUAAUAACCCCAUGCACCAAAGCAAUUAAUCAGCAAAUUAAUGACAGCAAACAGCAAAAUAAUCAACUAUUUGCAACAAGGUAUUGCAGAAGCAGACUCCGAAAAUACCACCACCCAAUCUCCAGGAGCAACAAUCGGACUACUAUAUAACUGGAUUGCUACUCUUGACCAAAAUCAAAUAAACAGGGAAGCUCAAACGCAUAAAGCGAGCAAAAUAUUUUGAGCAGAAUCCCUGGAAGCAAUUUCAUUUCCUAGUAACUGAAUUAGCAUAUUAAGAAUCAAUCAUAUGCAACUGUUGAUCCGGAGCCCAGUAAAAUCUCAGUUCUUGAUUUAGACUACUACUAAAAGGAUAAGAAUCAAUCAAAUAUAAAUGUUAAUCGAAACAACUAAAACUAAAAUGAAAGAAUAAUCCAGCACAACAAUAUCUACCAAAACAACAGUAUAUCACUUCUCUGUUCAUUUAACAAUACUUAGAAAGUGAGAAUCAAUACUAAAAUGACUAAGUAAUCCUAAUUCUUCGCCCCUCUGCCACUGUCCGCUUAGGCUGCUUUUGCUGGUCAGUUUCUUCAUAAUUAGCCAAACAUAACUUAGCUACAGUUUUAUUAUACUGAUAAGAUUAAAAAAAGAAAAGCUAUGAGAAAGUGUUUACCUAUUUGCCACUCAAGGCUCCUCUUGGUAUUGAUUCACUUGUAAAGAGCAGGCCGCAUCGGGGUCCAAUUGUUGCCAGUUUACCAUUAAGACAAUUACUGAUAUCGUGUCGGGUAUGUGCAAAGUUACUUUUGUGAGAAAAAGUACAGCCUUGCAUCAUGUUGUUGAACAAGGACAGUAAUACAUCCAAUUUACUAACAAUUCUGUCCAUUGCUAUAUGAUCAAAUCUCCUGGCUUCCAAAAAGUCUUGAAUAAAUCUGGUUCUAGCUACACCAACAGUAAUGUUUCUAUCAUACAUGUCUGCAACUAUCUGGCGAAUAUCAGAAUCCAAAUUCAGGACUUGAUUCACUCUGAGCAGGCUGUGAAGAAUUAGUUCUUCUUCUGCGGAGACGAUUGAGCGUGGUACGUAUGGUUCCCGUCCAUAUCUAGCAAUUGAACAGGUAAAUUCACUUAUUAAACUAAGUCCUUGGAAUGAUGAAACUAAUUUUGUCAGAUUCAUCUAAAAAGAAAUAUGGACAUUUCUUGAUCUGUUAAACAAAUAUUUGAGUAUAGAAGAAUAGAUAUCUUACUAAAGUA